This 5088-nucleotide ribosomal RNA is filed under the name Triticum aestivum (bread wheat). RNAcentral describes it as "partial small subunit ribosomal RNA". Lineage: Eukaryota; Viridiplantae; Streptophyta; Magnoliopsida; Poales; Poaceae. The record is from RNAcentral.
AUGCUCGUCGUCCCCCUUUCUCCGAGCUCACCCCUCUCCUUCCUCCCUGUCCCGAACCCCCGCCCUUUUGUCGUCUCCCCUCUUCGCCGCUACUGCCUCCACAAACACCACAAGCGCCGGCAAUGCCGCGGUGGCAGUGGCCUACCACUCCACCUCCUCCACGCCGUCGCCAGGAGGCGAACGGGCAUCGUGAUCGACGUCGACGAGGUGAAUGAUAUCGGCGACCGUGACCUCCCCGUGGACGUGUCAUUCACUCGGAGGCUCCCGCCGGCGAUCACCCUCGUUGACGGCAUUGCCGCACUGCGGCGGGCCGCCGAGGAGGUGAAGGCCAGCCCGCCUGCCGCCGGGAGCGGCGUGAUCCGGUUCGAGGUACUUGUUCCACCCAGUACGAAGGCACUCAAAUGGUUAUGCUCUCAGUUUAGGAGAUCAUCAUUGUUCCCUCAGUUCUAUCUAUCAAGGAAGCUAAGCUCCAAUCCGUCAGUUCAACUUGAAAUAUCUGGUGUUGGUUCUGCACUUUACUUGCAUGGUUCCUCUUCUCAAGUAAAAGAUGGAUAUGAUAUGAUAUCAAGAUACAUUUCAUUUGAUUCAGAUUUGAUGGGAGCUUAUGGAGCAGUUGGCAUGAAGUAUAACGAGGAAUUAUUGUCAAUAGAGGAGAAAGCUGGUUCAUUUUACUUCUUUAUUCCUCAGGUUGAGUUGACCGAAUUUGUUGGCUAUUCUGUGCUAUCAUCAACUAUGGUUUGGGAUCAUUUUGUAUCUCAUACAUUUGAGGAUUCGGUUUGUUUGUUUGAAUCUUGUUUCAAUCAGGUAUGUGGUAGCUAUGAUUCUGCAGCUAGCAGCUGUUAUGAAGGCAUGAUGACGAAUUACAUUGGAGAAUCACAUUUGGUAGAGACUGUGAAUGCUCAGUUGGUAUACUUGGAUGGCGAAGUUCUUGUCAAAGUAGAUGCUGAAAUCAGCAUGCAAAAGGAGAAAUUUCUGAUGUCCGAGCAGUCAUUUAUUCGCUUUUCACCACACUUCUUAUUUUCUGCAAACAUGGACCUACGCUCAGAAAGCAACAAAACCGAAUCUUCUAUUAAGAGCUGCUCUAACAUUAAUUCGGCAUGGGCAUCCCUUAUAGUUGAAGAGUGUGUCAGGCUUGGUUUCACGUACUUUUGUAUAGCUCCAGGGUCAAGGUCAUCCCCACUUGCACUUUCUGCCACAGGCCACCCUUUGACAACUUGCAUAUCAUGUUAUGAUGAACGUUCACUUGGAUUUCAUGCUCUUGGCUAUGGGAGAGGUUCUAGAAAGCCUGCAAUAGUAAUUACAUCAUCAGGAACUGCUGUAUCAAAUCUUCUCCCUUCGGUGGUGGAGGCGAGUCAAGAUUUCGUACCAGUUAUCUUGCUCACAGCUGAUCGUCCUCCCGAGCUGCAUGAUACUGGAGCCAACCAAGCGAUUAAUCAGAUUUAUGCAAGAAUGGUUCUUACAACAAUUGAUUCAGCAGCCUACAAUGCAAUGCAAGCACCACAAGGUCCGGUGCAUAUAAACUGUGCUUUUAGGGAACCACUAGAUCACAGCAAUCAAAAUUGGAGUUUUGAUUGUUUGAGAGGAUUGGACAGGUGGUUUAGAAAUGAUGAACCAUAUACUAGAUACCUAGAAAUGAAAAUGGUCUCUGCAUUUUGUAAUUAUUCUUGUUCAGUAAUAGAGGUUCAAGAUAUCAUAAAGAAGGCAAAGCAAGGGCUUCUAUUAGUUGGAGCUAUUCAUAAAGAAGAUGACAUGUGGGCUGUGGCUUUACUAGCUAGACAACUUUCCUGGCCAGUUGCCGCUGACAUUCUGUCUGGACUGCGAAUGAGGAAAGUUCUAAAUUCAUUUCCAGGAUUUGAUAAGAGUAUUUUGUUUAUAGACCAAAUAGAUCAAAUUCUACUGUCGGACUCUGUCAAAAGCUGGAUAAAUCCAGAUGUUAUUGUGCAGAUUGGAAGCCGGAUUACUAGCAAACGCAUGGAAAUGUUUCUCGAGUCCUGCUUCCCAUCUUCAUACAUCUUGAUUGAUACACAUCCGUGCCGCCAUGAUCCUUCACAUGUUGUCACUCACAGAAUCCAGACUAGUGUAGCUGACUUUGCUGCUAGUUUAUGCCAAUGUAAUUUAGAAAGGAAGACAAGCAGAUGGAAGGAUAUUUUGAUGGUUCUAAAUUCAGCGGUUUCACAGGAAAUAAUGUUUCAUGUACAUGCGGAAUUCUCGCUUACAGAACCAUAUGUUGCACAUGUAAUUGGAGAGGCACUUUAUGGUGAUGCUGCCAUGUUUGUUGGGAAUAGCAUGGUCAUUCGAGACUUGAACAUGUUUGGGAAGGGCUGGCUUGACCAUACCACCAACGGAGAUAACAUGAUGAUGCAUAAUAUUCCAGAUUUUAUUGGUGCAACAGUGUCUGGGAACCGAGGAGCAAGUGGUAUUGAUGGUUUGCUUAGCACAGCGAUCGGAUUCGCUGUUGGGUCAAACAAGCAUGUAUGCUGUGUGGUUGGUGAUGUAUCUUUUCUUCAUGAUACGAACGGAUUGUCACUUCUCAACCAAAGGGCCCAGAGGAAACCCAUGACAGUGAUUGUAAUCAACAACCAUGGUGGUGCAAUCUUCAGCCUUCUACCAGUUGCAAAAACAGCUUCGCCCCAAAUUUUGCAGAAAUACUUCUACACCUCACAUGACAUAUCGAUUUCUAAACUCUGUGAUGCACACAGAGUGAAGCAUUUUUUGGUUCAAACAAAAGCAGAACUUCAUGAUACAUUGGUGAAGACCCAUGCAGAACACCUUGAUUGUGUGGUGGAAGUAGAGAACCAGAUUGAUGAGAAUGCCAACUUUCAUAGAACUAUAAGUAUGUUCGUUGAUAAUACUGCAACCCACUAUCUGGAUUAUCUUCUCGGGGAUCCGUAUUCUAGCACUACGAGUGAUUUAGAUCGCAUGUACAAAACGAAAAUUCAUGCAAUAGAGUACAUGUUGUACAGAAUCCAGCUUUCUGCGCCUCGUACUUCAGGAAUUUCAGAUAGCAGUUGUUUCCAUGAAGGCUUCAUUCUGAAGCUACGUAUGGAUGACAACAUUGUAGGAUUUGGUGAGGUUGCACCAAUCGAAAUUCACCAGGAGGAUAUAAUAGAUGUUGAAGAGCAACUUAGGUUUCUGUUUCACAGAGUGAAAGAUUGUGAGCUAGAUGUUGUUCCUUUGUUGAGAGGGUCUUUCUCCAAUUGGAUAUGGACAAACAUUGGGAUUCCUCCUUCUUCUGUAUUUCCAAGUGUCAAGUGUGGCCUGGAGAUGGCCAUUCUUAAUUUGCUGGCGUCACAGCGGAAAUGUAGAUUAUCUGAAAUUCUCACUGGUUCCAACCCCUUACUAAGAGAUCAGAGUCUGGUGGAAUAUAAUCAGAACAGUUCUGCAGGCAUACAUAUCUGUGCACUCUUAGACUCCGACGGUACUCCGAUGGAGGUAGCACUUGCUGUGACUAAACUUGUUGAUGAAGGCUUUACCACAGUGAAACUGAAGGUUGGACGUCGUGCAAGUCCCGUUGAAGAUGCAGCUGUUAUUCAAAAAAUAAGAGAGGUUGUAGGAUAUAAGAUCAAUAUCCGUGCCGAUGCAAAUCGAAAAUGGACAUACAAGCAAGCAAUUGAAUUUGGAUCCAGAGUAAAAAGCCUUUGUUUGCAAUACAUUGAGGAACCAGUGAGCUCUGUACAUGAUCUCAUCAAGUUCUGUGAAAACAGUGGUUUGCCUGUUGCUUUGGACGAGAGUAUCGACAACCUUAAGGGGGAUCCAAUCCAAAAGCUUCAUCAAUUUGUACAUCCAGGGAUAGUUGCUGUUGUUAUAAAACCCAGUGUUGUUGGCGGCUUUGAGAAUGCAGCUCAUAUAGCAAAGUGGGCUCACAUGCAUGAUAAGAUGGCUAUCAUCAGUAGUGCGUACGAGAGUUCUGUAGGUUUGGCGACCUACAUACAGUUUGCAUAUUAUGUUGACAGGCAACAUGACCUAAUCUCCAGACUAAAGAGAUAUGAUUCAUGUGGAACUGUGGCUCAUGGGUUUGGAACAUAUCAAUGGUUAACAGAAGAUGUAUCAGAACAAAAGUUAAAAAUUCUUGUUCCCCCGCUUGGUGAUGGAAUGGGAGCUUCAGUGGAAAAUGCCCAUGGCUAUCUCCACCACUUAAAUAUAAAUGAUGAGAAGAUUGAAAAAACAUAUAGUGAAGAAAAACUAAACUCAUAUUCUAUCCAAGUCGAUGGGGAUCAUUUUUCUUAUGUAGUUAAGGUUCAAGAGGCUGGUGAUUGUACAAAUGAUAAGGUCGUUCUUUUUCUUCAUGGAUUUCUUGGCACAAGUGAGGACUGGACUCCCAUGAUGAAAGCUCUCUCUCCCAGUGCACGGGUCAUCGCCGUUGAUCUUCCUGGCCAUGGAGAGUCCCAAAUUCUGCAGCACGAUGAUGAAAAUUUCAAUCAAAUCUCUCUUACAAUUCAAUCAGUUGCAGACUUGUUGCUGAAGUUGAUAUGCAAUAUAACCGAUGGAGAGGUGGUUGUUGUUGGCUACUCAAUGGGUGCAAGGAUUGCACUCCAGAUGAUACUAAAUGAAAAUCUAAAGAUUAGUGGAGCUGUUUUGAUAUCGGGGAGUCCUGGAUUGAGACAUGAAGCAAGUAGAAGACGACGUACUGCUAUUGAUAAAUCACGAGCUCAAUUCCUGUUGACUUAUGGACUGGAAUGUUUUAUCAAGACAUGGUACUCUGGAAAAAUGUGGACCAGUCUAAGAGAACACCCACAGUUUGAUUCCCUAGUGAGGACACGCAGAAAACACAGUAACAUCACGGAUCUAUCUAAGGUUCUGGCUGACUCGAGCAUAGGGAGACAAAAGUCCCUGUGGGAAGACCUGAAACACUUGGAGAAGCCUGUCCUCAUCAUUGCAGGUGAGAAGGACGUAAAAUUUAAAGAGAUAGCAGAGCGAAUGUGCAGCGAGACAAGAGAGUACGGUGAACGUGAAGCUGAUUGUCGUAGCAAUCAGGAGCUAUGUGAAAUGAUCGUUGUCCCGGAAAGUGGCCAUGCUGUGCAUGUUGAGAAUCCUCUCCCCUUAGUUAGAGCCCUGAGGAAGUUCUUGGUAAGGCUACACCAGCCUUAA